CUUGUAUCUCCUGCAUUCGCAGGCAGAUUCUUUACCACUUGUGGCACCUGAGAAGGGCUGCUGCUUUUGGGUUGCAGGAGGCAGGGACCAUCUUCAUCUGUCAUUUUUGUGCACAGUUGGGGAUGGUAAGAAGUCACAGACUCUGAGGGACUGGCAGGAACCUUAGAUCUUUUCUUCCCUUUCACUUCUACAGACGUGGAGACAGAGGUCCAGAGAGCUCCAGGACUGAGAAUACCACUCUUGCCCCCUGCUCCCACCCCCCUUUUUUCCCCUUGCUGUACUACUGCUAGGGAAUCUGAGGACUGAGUGAUUAGGUGUAAAAAGGAGCGGGGGGUGGUUGUUCCAGGGCAUUGGAUCUUCAUCACCUCCCUGGUGGUUAUCUGCCCAGACGGGUCUCUGCUUCCUUUCCCAUCUCUGAGGAAGACACCUGCUAGCCCUGGCCCCAAGACUCAAGGUCACUGAGCUUGCUGUUUCCGACUUUUCCCCGGGUCCACUGGGCACCUGCUGACCUGCUGGUUAGUAGCUGUGCAGAUUGAUCUGUCUGAUCUUAAGGCAUGUAAUGGCUCCACCGGCAGGACCAUGGGUCUUGGUGACCCACUUUCUCCCCUGGCCCUUUGGACUCAUCCUCAGACAACUGGUACUAAGAAACUGGACUCGGAGGAGGAAAUGACAACCCAUUCCAGCAUUCUUGCCUGGAGAAUCCCAUGGACAGAGGAGCCUGACGGAUCACAGUCCAUUGGGUCGCAAAGAACUGGACAUGACUGAAGCAUCAAGGCUGUAUAUUGUCACCCUGCUUAUUUA
Molecule: long non-coding RNA, 801 nt
Filed under: Bos indicus x Bos taurus (hybrid cattle)
Lineage: Eukaryota; Metazoa; Chordata; Mammalia; Artiodactyla; Bovidae
Description: lncRNA (ENSBIXG00005017921.1)
Source: RNAcentral